Molecule: long non-coding RNA, 1736 nt
Organism: Aplysia californica (California sea hare)
Lineage: Eukaryota; Metazoa; Mollusca; Gastropoda; Aplysiida; Aplysiidae
Exons: 7
Source: RefSeq, a predicted model, not a curated record
AGGAGGGAUGGGUGGCAGGGGUAGAAUGGUGUGGGAAGAGCUUCCUGCUGAUUUUUGAGUUUGAGUGUGAGGUUGUUGGAGUGGCGUGAAAUGUGGAGGACGACACGGAGGAUGACCUGAAACAUCCCUCGACCGGACCAUGUACAGGAGGUAUUUGUCUGUGAAACAUGUCUUGGAACAUUAUUUGUUAAUUAUUUCAGUAAAAUUUGAUAUUGAUAGUAUGUACUGGUGGGACUUAAUUCAAUACAAAAGUUUUAUUUUUGCACCAAGAUGAAAAAAAAAUGGUGAAAUGUAUUUACCUACAGAUGUUUAUAAAUAUCCUCCUUUCCUUUUAAACCAUAAGUAAACACAUAUUAUACCUACUCUUUUUUGUUUUUUACAACAAAAGAACAGAUUGUGUAGAUGAAAAUGGAUAUUCUUAAUUGACUUAUAUCUUCAUCACCAGAACCACCCCCCGGAGAGGACGACGACCUGAAUGAUCCUACGAUCGGACCAUCAUCAGGAGGUAUUUGUCAUUGAAAUAUGUCUUGGAAUAUUAUUUGUCCAUUUCUUUAUCACUAAUUUCAGUAACAUAAGAAAAAUAUCUACUGGUGGGACUUUGGUUCAAUGUAAAGUUUUAUUUUUGCCCUUUGGUAAAAAAUGAAAAUUGUUAAACGUAUUUACUGACAGAUUAUUGUAAAUGUACUUCUUAAACUGACACGUCUUCAUCACCAGGACGACCCCCUGGACAGGAGGACGACCUGAAGGAUCCCACGACCGGACCAUCUUCAGGAGGACCACCCCCUGGAGGACGACCCGAAGGAUCCCAUGACCAGACCAUUUACAGGAGGACCACCACUUGGAGAGGAGGAUGACCGGGAGGGUCCAACGACCAGACCAUCUUCAGGAGGAUCACCCCCUUGAGAUGACGACCCGAAGGAUCUCCUAACGAGGACCACCCCCUGGAGGACGACCUGAUGGAUCCCACGACCGGACCAUCUACAGGAGGACCACCCUCUGGACAGGACAACGAGCAGAGAAGAACCCAAAGGAAUCCACGACAGGACCAUCUACAGGAGAAAGCUGCCAAGCCAAAUAUUGAAAGCCACCCAAGAAGCAUAUGCUCUGUCCAGACAAGGGUCUUCCAUUCAACCUGGAUUGUAGCAUCCCCUCUUCUGCAUUAUGUCAUUCAGCCAAGUGAGAGUGCUUGCUGACAUGGUCAAAUUGUGUCAAUAGCACUGUGAAACAAUCUUUUAUUCAGUCGGUCAAGAACUAACGGACAAUUGCCAGGCAUCUAGAAUCCCGCCAACAUGCAGCUGCUCUUGAAUGGACUAGUCACUUCCUCCAGAUAGCUACCAUGGACAACUUUAAAAGCUGAUGAAGCAGUUUUAUUUCUCUUGUGAAGUUAUGUUGAUAGUACUGUAAAACCAGUAAAGACUCAAGAGAACAACAUUCCUUGUAUGAUAUCCAGCUGGAGAUUUUAUUUAUAAGAAGUCACUGAGAUACAUGUUCACUGAUUUAGAACAAGACAUUUCGUUCUUACUUUCAGUCCAAACUUUGGUGAUAUUAGAAGGUCUAGCCACUAUUCUGGUCAAACAAGUCUCACAGUGCUCUGGUGCUACAUUUUCUGUAUAUCACACUCAGGCUUAAAGUGACACAGUGGGGCUGUAGCUGUAGAGAAGGGCAGAUAGGUUGAUAGGGAGCUAGGUGGUUAGGCUAGGUUCAGAGUAGGAUUUCGUAGGUGUUGCCAUGGCCAU